This 816-nucleotide ribosomal RNA is filed under the name Nostoc sp. 'Nephroma arcticum cyanobiont' 68_Hansen_700B. RNAcentral's name for it is "bacterial SSU rRNA". It matches the Rfam family "Bacterial small subunit ribosomal RNA", at positions 64 to 923 of the family's 1533-position model. The record is from RNAcentral. Lineage: Bacteria; Bacillati; Cyanobacteriota; Cyanophyceae; Nostocales; Nostocaceae.
GAACGGAAUCUUCGGAUUUAGUGGCGGACGGGUGAGUAACGCGUGAGAAUCUGGCUUCAGGUCUGGGACAACCACUGGAAACGGUGGCUAAUACCGGAUGUGCCGAGAGGUGAAAGGUUAACUGCCUGAAGAUGAGCUCGCGUCUGAUUAGCUAGUUGGUAGAGUAAGAGCCUACCAAGGCGACGAUCAGUAGCUGGUCUGAGAGGACGAUCAGCCACACUGGGACUGAGACACGGCCCAGACUCCUACGGGAGGCAGCAGUGGGGAAUUUUCCGCAAUGGGCGAAAGCCUGACGGAGCAAUACCGCGUGAGGGAGGAAGGCUCUUGGGUCGUAAACCUCUUUUCUCAGGGAAGAACACAAUGACGGUACCUGAGGAAUAAGCAUCGGCUAACUCCGUGCCAGCAGCCGCGGUAAUACGGAGGAUGCAAGCGUUAUCCGGAAUGAUUGGGCGUAAAGCGUCCGCAGGUGGCAAUGUAAGUCUGCUGUUAAAGAGUCUAGCUCAACUAGAUAAGAGCAGUGGAAACUACAUAGCUAGAGUACGUUCGGGGCAGAGGGAAUUCCUGGUGUAGCGGUGAAAUGCGUAGAGAUCAGGAAGAACACCGGUGGCGAAGGCGCUCUGCUAGGCCGUAACUGACACUGAGGGACGAAAGCUAGGGGAGCGAAUGGGAUUAGAUACCCCAGUAGUCCUAGCCGUAAACGAUGGAUACUAGGCGUGGCUUGUAUCGACCCGAGCCGUGCCGUAGCUAACGCGUUAAGUAUCCCGCCUGGGGAGUACGCCGGCAACGGUGAAACUCAAAGGAAUUGACGGGGGCCCG